CGUCUGUAACAGGGUCAUAUUUUGGGACUCUGUCAAUUAAUGUUGGUGAAGAAUGUCCUGAUCAGUGUCUUGAUUGUUGGAAGUUUUUAAUAAGUGAGUUUAUAGUUUUGGUUGUGAGAUAAUGUAAAUUCAUUAAAAUGUUUUGGGGGAUGGAUUUUCAGUUGUAUGGGUCUGGAAUUGUAUUGUCCGGAUUAUGGUGUUUUAUUUUAGUGGUUGAAAUGUCUUAGUUCUUAUAUGGGUUUACUUUUAAUAUUUUUUGGUAUAGUUGAAAGGAUAACUCGUUGGACUCUUUAUAGUUCUGAAGGUGGUCUCUUUCUGAAAUAUUGUUUAUCAGGUGAUUAGUAAUUCUUUGUCCUGGUUGGUUAUUCAGAAGUUUAGCUGGGAUAAAACUAAAUUACACGCAUGCAUCAGUACCACAUGUUACAGAUUUAGUGAAGGUCAAUACCGGCUCUUUUCCACAAAUGGGGCCAACUUGUCGAGCAUAAAUGUAUUUUGUGUUAUAGUUAUGUGUAGUACCAACAGAAAUGGUGUUUAAUGGUUAUGGUGAAUUGAAAUACAUCUAGAUCGACCAACAUCGACUACGCGCUUACGCGUUUCAUUUAAUUGUUUUAAACUGUAUCAUGUGUCGUUUGUGGAUUAUAUAAACUUAUUUAAACCUUA
Patella vulgata (common limpet) is the source of this 660-nucleotide long non-coding RNA. RefSeq lists it as uncharacterized. The record is from RefSeq and is a predicted model, not a curated record. The transcript is spliced from 2 exons. Lineage: Eukaryota; Metazoa; Mollusca; Gastropoda; Patellidae.